GACGAACGCUGGCGGCGUGCUUAACACAUGCAAGUCGAACGGAAAGGCCCUGCUUUUGUGGGGUGCUCGAGUGGCGAACGGGUGAGUAACACGUGAGUAACCUGCCCUUGACUUUGGGAUAACUUCAGGAAACUGGGGCUAAUACCGGAUAGGAGCUCCUGCUGCAUGGUGGGGGUUGGAACGUUUCGGCGGUUGGGGAUGGACUCGCGGCUUAUCAGCUUGUUGGUGGGGUAGUGGCUUACCAAGGCUUUGACGGGUAGCCGGCCUGAGAGGGUGACCGGCCACAUUGGGACUGAGAGACGGCCCAGAGUCCUACGGGAGGCAGCAGGGGGGAAUAUUGCACAAUGGGCGGAAGCCUGAUGCAGCAACGCCGCGUGCGGGAUGACGGCCUUCGGGUUGUAAACCGCUUUCGCCUGUGACGAAGCGUGAGUGACGGUAAUGGGUAAAGAAGCACCGGCUAACUACGUG
Molecule: ribosomal RNA, 468 nt
Filed under: uncultured bacterium
Lineage: Bacteria
Description: partial 16S ribosomal RNA
Rfam family: Bacterial small subunit ribosomal RNA
Source: RNAcentral